RNAcentral lists this ribosomal RNA (279 nucleotides) under uncultured bacterium. RNAcentral's name for it is "partial 16S ribosomal RNA". It matches the Rfam family "Bacterial small subunit ribosomal RNA", at positions 506 to 784 of the family's 1533-position model. The record is from RNAcentral.
UGCCAGCAGCCGCGGUAAUACGGGGGGUGCAAGCGUUAAUCGGAAUGACUGGGCGUAAAGCGCGCGUAGGUGGUUACUUAAGUUGGAUGUGAAAGCCCCGGGCUCAACCUGGGAACUGCAUCCAAAACCGGGUAACUAGAGUACAGUAGAGGGGGGUAGAAUUUCAGGUGUAGCGGUGAAAUGCGUAGAGAUCUGAAGGAAUACCAGUGGCGAAGGCGGCUCACUGGCUCGGUACUGACGCUGAGGUGCGAAAGCGUGGGGAGCAAACAGGAUUAGAUA